UACAGAGGGUGCGAGCGUUGUUCGGAAUUAUUGGGCGUAAAGCGCUUGUAGGCGGCCUGUCAAGUCGCGUGUGAAAUCCCCAGGCUUAACCUGGGAAGUGCGCGCGAAACUGACGAGCUUGAGUGCCGGAGAGGGUCGCGGAAUUCCCGGUGUAGAGGUGAAAUUCGUAGAUAUCAGGAGGAACACCAGUGGCGAAGGCGGCGACCUGGACAGACACUGACGCUGAGGCGCGAAAGCGUGGGGAGCAAACGGG
This 253-nucleotide ribosomal RNA is filed under the name uncultured bacterium. Its description in RNAcentral is "partial 16S ribosomal RNA". It matches the Rfam family "Bacterial small subunit ribosomal RNA", at positions 524 to 776 of the family's 1533-position model. The record is from RNAcentral.